AACCCAUGAUUUGGGCAUUUUAUCAACAUGAUCUUGAAUCUCUCCCAUGUCUCACAUAAAGAUUCCUUUGCUCCUUGUCUUAACAUAGAAAUUUAAGACUUAGCUU
This 106-nucleotide small nucleolar RNA is filed under the name Phaseolus vulgaris (common bean). RNAcentral's name for it is "Plant small nucleolar RNA R71". It matches the Rfam family "Plant small nucleolar RNA R71". Rfam says of the family: R71 is a member of the C/D box family of snoRNAs containing the C (UGAUGA) and D (CUGA) box motifs. Multiple nearly identical copies of this snoRNA have been identified in Arabidopsis, and it is thought to function as a 2'-O-ribose methylation guide for 18S ribosomal RNA. The record is from Rfam by way of RNAcentral. Lineage: Eukaryota; Viridiplantae; Streptophyta; Magnoliopsida; Fabales; Fabaceae.